This 4967-nucleotide long non-coding RNA is filed under the name Malus domestica (apple). Its description in RNAcentral is "long non-coding RNA (MDOM_LNC017157)". The record is from RNAcentral. Lineage: Eukaryota; Viridiplantae; Streptophyta; Magnoliopsida; Rosales; Rosaceae.
UUAACAAAUGAAAGAACCUUCGACGUGGAAGAUACCAAUGUGCAAGCAGAGAAAAAUGUCGAAUCAAAUGAGAACUUGGAGGAGACUAUUCCAACAGCAGCGGAUGAAGGCGAAACAUCCCUGCAGGAAGCUGAAGCAGAAGGCAAGGAUGAGAUUAAAAGUACUGAUAUUGCUCAUGCAGAUACUGAUGGACAUGGAGAUGAAAUUGAUAAUUCUGAAGAGAACUUGGAUAAGCAGAUCCCAGCAGGCGAACGUGAAAUAAGCUUGAAAGCAGCCGAAGCAGAAUAUAAGGAGCAGGUCAAACAUGCUGAUAUUGUUCCUGAAGAGGAGGGUCUAGCAACCGUCUUAACAGACGAAACACCCUUAGAUGUCGAGGAUAUUGAGGUAAAAACUGACUGUGUCGAAUCAAAAGAGAAUGUGGAGGAGCAGAUUCCAACAACAGUAGAUGAAGGCGGAAAAAGUACUUAUAUUUCUCCUGAAGAUAUUGAAGUACAAGCAGAUGAAAAUUUUAUUACACUAGAGAAUUUGGAGAAGCCAAUUCUAACAACAUCAGGUGAACGAGAAACAGGCUUGGGAGAAGCUGAAGCAGAAAUUAAGGAGCAGGUCAAAAGUAUUGAUAUUGUUCCUGAAGAGAUGGCAACCAUCUCAACAGCUGAGACACCCUCGGAUGUUGAAGUUAUCGGUGUACAAGCAGAGGAAAGCCUCAAAUCAAAAGAGAGCGUGGAGGAGCAGAUUCCAACAGCAGCGGAUGAAGAUGAAAGAUUCUUGAAGGAAUCCAAAGCAGAAAACAAGGAGCUGAUCGACGAGGAAAAUUUGAAUUUACAAGAACAAGUGACUGAAAUUACAAACACAAUAGAAGAUGACACUGAAAGGGAGGAGGUAAGAUCGGAAUAAAUUUUUUUAUGAGUUUUUCUCUCUGGCUUACCAUCUGACAAGUAGUCUCCCUACACGGUUUUGUUAUUGAUUAAGAUGCAAGAUUCAUAACGUAUCACAGAUGCAUAUGAACAUGCGAAGAAACUAUGUUUUAUUUUAAAAUGGUAAGAACGAUUUCUAAAAUCUAUUUUCUCCUUAUAUAUUAUGAUGGUUUCAUCUCUAAUGUAGGUGCUUGAGACUACCAGUACGGAGCAAGAAACUGGAGAACAUGUGGUACACGAAAUUCAUACUGUCCCAGAACCCCCUCGAGACUCCAUUGAUAAAGAAACAAAUGAAGACAACUCCGCGGAAUAUCAGGUUUACCUGGACACAAACAUAAGGCCUACAAAAGUGUGAUCCUUUUUCUUCGUCUCCCAGUACAUAACCUUUGUUUUUUUUUUCCCUUCCAAUGUUAGGCAUGUACUGAGGCAGCUGAUUUGAGUACAAGUGCAGAGGAAAAGAACUUAGAGGAACAUGCCAUUCGGGAACUCUCUUCUCCACUGGUAGUAGAAGAAGCAACUAAAGAAAUCCCGAAAGAAGAAGAAACCUACCCCACGCUUCUAGAAGAAGAGGUAAUCUAGCAUUCAAUAUCAAAUUUUUAGAUUAAAAUACACUAUAGUAUUAUCUUGCAAAUUGAAAUUUACAACUCAUAUCGGCAACAGGAAAAGGAAGGGCAUGCAACAUGUAACAAGCCCAAUGAGGAAUAUGAGGCAGAGAUUGAGAAAAAUAUUCAGGAGAAAGAUGGCAACACAGUUAGCAAUUCUGAAUCUCUGUCUGGAGAACUGAGUCAUGUAACAGCCUUGAAGGAAUGUGAAACAGAGAUUGAAAGGCAGGACAGGAACAUUGAUACUGCUCCUGAAGAGAAGGGUCAAGCAACCAUCUCAGCAGAUGAAACAGCCUCGGAAGUUGAGGAUAUUGAUGUACAAUUAAAGGAGAACCUUGAGUCUAAAGAGAACUUGGAGGAACAAUUUCCAACAGCAGCAGAUGAAGGUGAAAUAAUCUUGAAAGAAGCUGAAGCAAAAAACCAGGAGCAGAUAAAAAAUGUUGAAAUUGCUCAUGAAGAUGUUGAUGCACAAGCGGAGAAAACUGUCAACUCAGAAGAGAACAUAGAUAAGCAGAUUCUGCCAAUAGCACAUGAAGGUGAAACAAGCUUGAAAGAAACCGCUGUCUUGAUUCUAAAAGAAGAGGUUAGCAUGAUAUCAGAAUUUUCGAUUUUUACAUUAUAGUUCAUUGUAUUACAUAUUCCAAUCAAGAAUUGGUAUCCCCCUGCAGAUAAAGGAAGAAGAUACAGAAUGUAAUGAGCCUGCUGAGGUAGCGAGUAUGACACAUGAAACACGAUCUGAAACCACAGAGGACAUAACAGAGCCAAAUAAGGACGUCAAUGCUCCAAUUUCAGGAGAAAGCAACAAAACAUUUGUUGAAAAUAUUUCCACACUCGCUGAGGUAUCUGAGACGGGGACUGAGAAAAAUGUUCAGGAGAAAAAUGGCCCGGCUGUCAGCAAUUCUGACUCUGCGUCAGGUGAAGUGAGUCAUGUAACAGGUUUGAAGGAAGCUGAAACAGAAAAGGAGGAGCAGAAAGAAAACAUUGAUACUGCUCCGGAAGAGAAGGUUCAAGCUACCGUCUUAAAAGAUGAAAUGGCCUCGGAAGUUGAAGAUAUUGGUGUACAAGCAGAGGAAAAUUGUGAAUCAAAAGAGAAGUUGGAGGAGCAUAUUCCAACAGCAGCAGACAAAGUUGAAACAUUCUCAAAGGAAGCCGAGGCAGAAAAUGAGGAGCAGAUAAACAAUGGUGAUGUUGCUGCUGAAGAGAAGGUUUCGGAAACCAUCUUAACAAAUGAAAGAACCUUCGACGUGGAAGAUACCAAUGUGCAAGCAGAGAAAAAUGUCGAAUCAAAUGAGAACUUGGAGGAGACUAUUCCAACAGCAGCGGAUGAAGGCGAAACAUCCCUGCAGGAAGCUGAAGCAGAAAGCAAGGAUGAGAUUAAAAGUACUGAAGCAGAAAGCAAGGAUGAGAUUAAAAGUGCUGAUAUUGUUCCUGAGGAGAAGGGUCUAGCAACCGUCUUAACAGAUGAAACACCCUUAGAUGUCAAGGAUAUUGAGGUAAAAACUGAGGACUGUGUUGAAUCAAAAGAGAAUGUGGAGGAGCAGAUUCCAACAACAGCAGAUGAAGGCGAAAAAAGUACUUAUAUUUCUCCUGAAGAUAUUGAAGUACAAGCAGAUGAAUUUAUUACACUAGAGAAUUUGGAGAAGCCGAUUCUAACAUCAGGUGAACGAGAAACAGGCUUGGGAGAAGCUGAAGCAGAAAUUAAGGAGCAGGUCAAAAGUAUUGAUAUUGUUCCCGAAGAGAUGGCAACCAUCUCAACAGCUGAGACACCCUCGGAUGUUGAAGUUAUCGGUGUACAAGCAGAGGAAAGCCUCAAAUCAAAAGAGAACAUGGAGGAGCAGAUUCCAACAGCACCAGAUGAAGGUGGAAAAUUCUUGAAGGAAUCCAAAGCAGAAAACAAGGAGCUGAUCGACGAGGAAAAUUUGAAUUCACAAGAAUCUUCAGACAAAGGAAAACAAGAAGUGACUGAAACUACUAACACACUAGAAGAUGACACAGCAAGGGAGGAGGUAAGAUUGGAAUAAACCUUUUCAUGAAUUUUUCUUUCGGUCUUAUCAUCCGACAAGUAGUUUCCUUAACGCGGUUUAGUUAUUGACCGAAAUGCAGGAUUCAUAACGUAUCACUGAUAGAUAUGAACAUGCGAAAAAACAAAGUUUUAUUUAAAAUGGCACAAACGAUUUGUAAAAUCUAUUCUCUCCUACAUAUUACGACGGUUUCAUCUUUAAUGUAGGUGCUUGAGAAUACCUGCACGGAGCAAGAAACUGGAGAACAUGUGGUACACGAAAUUCAUACUGUCGUGGAAACCCCUCGAGAUUCCGUUGAUAAAGAAACAAAUGAAGAGAACUCCGCGGGAUAUCAGGUUUACCUGGACACAAACAUAAAGCCUACAAAAGAGUUAUCCUUUUUCUUCGUCUCCCAGUGCAUAACCUUUGUGUUUUUUUCCUUCCAAUGUUAGGCAUGUACUGAUGCAGCUGAUUUGAGUACAACUGCAGAGGAAAAGAACUUAGAGGAACAUGACAUUCAGGAACUCUCUUCUCCGCUGGUGGUAGAAGAAGAAACUAAUGAAAUCCCGAAGGAAGAAGAAACCUACGCCACGCUUCUAGAAGAAGAGGUAAUCUAGCAUAGGAUAUCAAAAUUUUAGAUUAUUACAUUAUAGUAUUAUCUUGCAAAUUCAAAUUUACAGUUCAUAUCCACAACAGAAAAAGGAAGGGCAUGCAACAUGUAACGAGCCGACUGAGAAAUAUGAGGCAGAGAUUGAGAAAAAUAUUCAGGAGAAAGAUGGCAACACAGUUAGCAAUUCUGAAUCUCUGUCUGGAGAACUGAGUCAUGUAACAGCCUCGCAUGAAUCUGAAACAGAGAUUGAAAGGCAGGACAAAAAUAUUGAUACUGCUGCUGAAGAGAAGGGUCAAGCAACCAUCUUGAAAGAAAACAUUGAUACUGCUCCGGAAGAGAAGGGUCAAGCAACCAUCUUGAAAGGUAAAGCGGCCUCGGAAGUUGAAGAUAUUGGUGUACAAGCAGAGGAAAAAUGUGAAUCAAAAGAGAAUUUGGAGGAGCAUAUUCCAACAGCAGCAGACAAGGUUGAAACAUUCUCGAAGGAAGCUGAGGCAGAAAAUGAGGAGCAGAUAAACAAUAGUGAUGUUGCUGCUGAAGAGAAGGUUCUGGAAACCAUCUUAACAAAUGAAAAAUCCUUCGACGUGGAAGAUACCAAUGUGCAAGCAGAGAAAAAUGUCGAAUCAAAUGAGGACUUGGAGGAGAAUGUUCCAACAGCAGCAGAUGAAGGUGAAACAUUCCCGAAGGAAGCUGAAGCAGAAAGCAAGGAUGAUAUUAAAAAUGCUGAUAUUCCUCAUGCAGAUAUUGAUGGACACGGAGAUGAAAUCGAUAGUUCUGAAGAGAACUUGGAUAAGCAGAUUCCAGCAGGGGAAUGUGAAACAAGCUUGAAAGCAGCCGAAGCAGA